GUGGGGAUUAGUGGCGAACGGGUGAGUAACACGUGGGCAAUCUGCCCCUCACUUCGGGACAAGCCCUGGAAACGGGGUCUAAUACCGGAUGAUACCUCCACUCGCAUGGGUGGAGGUUGAAAGCUCCGGCGGUGAGGGAUGAGCCCGCGGCCUAUCAGCUAGUUGGUGAGGUAACGGCUCACCAAGGCGACGACGGGUAGCCGGCCUGAGAGGGCGACCGGCCACACUGGGACUGAGACACGGCCCAGACUCCUACGGGAGGCAGCAGUGGGGAAUAUUGCACAAUGGGCGCAAGCCUGAUGCAGCGACGCCGCGUGAGGGAUGACGGCCUUCGGGUUGUAAACCUCUUUCAGCAGGGAAGAAGCGCAAGUGACGGUACCUGCAGAAGAAGCGCCGGCUAACUACGUGCCAGCAGCCGCGGUAAUACGUAGGGCGCGAGCGUUGUCCGGAAUUAUUGGGCGUAAAGAGCUCGUAGGCGGCCUGUCGCGUCAAUUGUGAAAGCCCGGGGCUUAACCCCGGGUCUGCAGUCGAUACGGGCAGGCUAGAGUGUGGUAGGGGAGAUCGGAAUUCCUGGUGUAGCGGUGAAAUGCGCAGAUAUCAGGAGGAACACCGGUGGCGAAGGCGGAUCUCUGGGCCAUUACUGACGCUGAGGAGCGAAAGCGUGGGGAGCGAACAGGAUUAGAUACCCUGGUAGUCCACGCCGUAAACGGUGGGCACUAGGUGUUGGCGACAUUCCACGUCGUCGGUGCCGCAGCUAACGCAUUAAGUGCCCCGCCUGGGGAGUACGGCCGC
Molecule: ribosomal RNA, 792 nt
Filed under: Streptomyces sp. MJ303
Lineage: Bacteria; Bacillati; Actinomycetota; Actinomycetes; Kitasatosporales; Streptomycetaceae
Description: bacterial SSU rRNA
Rfam family: Bacterial small subunit ribosomal RNA
Source: RNAcentral